This is a non-coding RNA of Xyrichtys novacula (pearly razorfish), 389 nucleotides long. The record is from the annotation of a GenBank genome assembly. NCBI's taxonomy places the organism in Eukaryota, Metazoa, Chordata, Actinopteri, Labriformes, Labridae.
GGCAAAAAGUUGUUGAAGAGGACAAACCAAACAGGCAAAAAGUUGUAAAAGAGGAACAACCAAACAGGCAAAAAGUUGUAAAAGAGGAACAACCAAACAGGUAAAAAGUUUUAUAAGAGGAACAACCACAGUUAAAAAGUUGUUAAAGGAACAACUAAACAGGUAAAAAAAAAAAAAAUUAAGGAACAAAUAAAAAGGUAAAAGGUUGUUAAAGAGAAAAAACCAAACAGGUAAAAAGAAAAAAAAAAUAUAGAGGCAACCAGCAACCUCUGGGAUGAGAAAACACCAGUACAUCAGACACAAACAGCUAGACUGAUGGUGCCCCGUGUCUUUACUGUUUAUUGGAUAUUAUGAACAGUUGAAAACGGUGCGUUAGUCCUGGUCCUCCA